This 228-nucleotide ribosomal RNA is filed under the name uncultured Pseudomonas sp. RNAcentral's name for it is "partial 16S ribosomal RNA". It matches the Rfam family "Bacterial small subunit ribosomal RNA", at positions 1156 to 1382 of the family's 1533-position model. Lineage: Bacteria; Pseudomonadati; Pseudomonadota; Gammaproteobacteria; Pseudomonadales; Pseudomonadaceae. The record is from RNAcentral.
UGACAAACCGGAGGAAGGUGGGGAUGACGUCAAGUCAUCAUGGCCCUUACGGCCUGGGCUACACACGUGCUACAAUGGUCGGUACAAAGGGUUGCCAAGCCGCGAGGUGGAGCUAAUCCCAAUAAAACCGAUCGUAGUCCGGAUCGCAGUCUGCAACUCGACUGCGUGAAGUCGGAAUCGCUAGUAAUCGUGAAUCAGAAUGUCACGGUGAAUACGUUCCCGGGCCUU